Etheostoma spectabile (orangethroat darter) is the source of this 580-nucleotide long non-coding RNA. RefSeq lists it as uncharacterized. NCBI's taxonomy places the organism in Eukaryota, Metazoa, Chordata, Actinopteri, Perciformes, Percidae. The transcript has 3 exons. The record is from RefSeq and is a predicted model, not a curated record.
UACCUAGUUUUAGGAAGAUGGACGACACGCAGUAAAGGGCCGCGGCUCGGAUUCGAACUGUGGCCGCUGGACUAUGACUCAGCUUACAUGGGGCACACACUCUACUGGGUGAGCCCAUGGACAGUGAAAAAGCCCCACAAACUGCUACAGUGACUGUGUCGGUCUCGUUCCGUUUCAGCCAAUCGCGUAAGCGUAGAUUCGAGGGGAAAACUUAUCACGUAGCGUUACAUCUGCGCAGUAGUCACUUCAAUUAUGAGUUAGAACUUGUUAGCUACCCUGCUGGAGGUCAACCCCCGAGUGAAAACAUAACAAGUUUAGCUCGUCGUUGCUGCUUCCCUCACCAUUCAGACACCAACCUGUUCAUGCCAGGAAGGUUCCCCCAGAAGUAGCGGGCGCGGUGGGCAGCAGACACUUCCUUGGCAUCGAUCAUCACUGGGUUGCACUGAAAUCCAAGUAAAGCAGAGAAGAAAAGACACCAGGGACCAAGAAAAAAAAAAAUCCAACUCACAUGUUUGCGUGUGACAUUCCUCACAUCACCAACAUACAUGAUGCGACCCUGAUGCCGGACGAUACCCACAGU